Bufo bufo (common toad) is the source of this 148-nucleotide long non-coding RNA. RefSeq lists it as uncharacterized. The transcript has 3 exons. NCBI's taxonomy places the organism in Eukaryota, Metazoa, Chordata, Amphibia, Anura, Bufonidae. The record is from RefSeq and is a predicted model, not a curated record.
UGAAUCCUGACCCAUUGUUUUCAAUGGGUCUGUGUACAUGUUUUUGACGUAUCAUUUCUGUGUUCAGGAAAAAUCUCAGCAAGUUCUAUAUUCUGUAUUUUUCACGCAGCUCUGGUUCCAUGGGAGUGACAGGGCCUUCAGAGAAAUU